GAUGAACGCUGGCGGCGUGCCUAAUACAUGCAAGUCGAGCGAACAGACGAGGAGCUUGCUCCUCUGACGUUAGCGGCGGACGGGUGAGUAACACGUGGAUAACCUACCUAUAAGACUGGGAUAACUUCGGGAAACCGGAGCUAAUACCGGAUAAUAUAUUGAACCGCAUGGUUCAAUAGUGAAAGACGGUUUUGCUGUCACUUAUAGAUGGAUCCGCGCCGCAUUAGCUAGUUGGUAAGGUAACGGCUUACCAAGGCAACGAUGCGUAGCCGACCUGAGAGGGGGAUCGGCCAAACUGGAACUGAGACACGGUCCAGACUCCUACGGGAGGCAGCAGUAGGGAAUCUUCCGAAAUGGGCGAAAGCUUGACGGAGCAACGCCGCGUGAGUGAUGAAGGUCUUCGGAUCGUAAAACUCUGUUAUGAGGGAAGAACAAAUGUGUAAGUAACUAUGCACGUCUUGACGGUACCUAAGCAGAAAGCCACGGCUAACUACGU
This 496-nucleotide ribosomal RNA is filed under the name uncultured bacterium. RNAcentral's name for it is "partial 16S ribosomal RNA". It matches the Rfam family "Bacterial small subunit ribosomal RNA", at positions 28 to 506 of the family's 1533-position model. The record is from RNAcentral.